RNAcentral lists this ribosomal RNA (496 nucleotides) under uncultured bacterium. RNAcentral's name for it is "bacterial SSU rRNA". It matches the Rfam family "Bacterial small subunit ribosomal RNA", at positions 28 to 533 of the family's 1533-position model. The record is from RNAcentral.
GACGAACGCUGGCGGCGUGCCUGACACAUGCAAGUCGGACGGUUCUUGCGCCUUCAAGCUUGCUUGUUGGUUCGAGGAUAGUGGCGGACGGGUGAGUAACGCGUGAACACCUACCCAUUGGAGGGGUACAACCCGUCGAAAGGCGGGCUAAUACCGCGUAAGCCGUGAGGUGAAAGGCUGCCUUUUGGUGGCUGCCGAUGGAUGGGUUCGCGUCCUAUCAGCUUGUUGGUGGGGUAAGGGCCUACCAAGGCUAAGACGGGUAGCCGGUCUGAGAGGAUGGCCGGCCACACUGGAACUGAGACACGGUCCAGACUCCUACGGGAGGCAGCAGUGGGGAAUAUUGGGCAAUGGGGGGAACCCUGACCCAGCGACGCCGCGUGAGGGACGAAGGUUUUCGGAUCGUAAACCUCUGUUGUACGGGAAGAAGGAUGUGACGGUACCGUACGAGUAAGCCCCGGCAAACUACGUGCCAGCAACCGCGGUAAACACGAGAAUA